This 76-nucleotide transfer RNA is filed under the name Mycobacteroides stephanolepidis. RNAcentral describes it as "[Mycobacterium] stephanolepidis tRNA-Ala". Lineage: Bacteria; Bacillati; Actinomycetota; Actinomycetes; Mycobacteriales; Mycobacteriaceae. The record is from RNAcentral.
UUUCUGUUUGGCGCAUGGAACGGGGUGGCCGCGCUGGCGCUGCGAGAGGACGGUGCUCGGCUCACCGCGCAGGAGG